UGAACGCUGACAGAAUGCUUAACACAUGCAAGUCGAUGGGGAAGUGGUGCUUGCACCAUGGUAACCAUGGCGGACGGGUGAGUAACGCGUAAGGAACUUGCCUGCGGGACUGGGAUAACAGCAGGAAACUGCUGAUAAUACCGGAUAAGGUCAUUAAGCUGCAUAGCUUAGUGAUGAUAGGAGACGCCUGCGGAGAGCCUUGCGUCCUAUUAGCUAGUUGGAGGGGUAACGGCCCACCAAGGCGAAGAUAGGUAGCCGGCCUGAGAGGGUGGACGGCCACAAGGGGACUGAGAUACGGCCCUUACUCCUACGGGAGGCAGCAGUGGGGAAUAUUGGACAAUGGGGGCAACCCUGAUCCAGCAAUUCUGUGUGCACGAAGACGGUUUUCGGAGUGUAAAGUGCUUUCAGCAGGGAAGAAGGAAGUGACGGUACCUGCAGAAGAAGCGACGGCUAAAUACGUG
RNAcentral lists this ribosomal RNA (461 nucleotides) under uncultured bacterium. RNAcentral describes it as "partial 16S ribosomal RNA". It matches the Rfam family "Bacterial small subunit ribosomal RNA", at positions 30 to 507 of the family's 1533-position model. The record is from RNAcentral.